UUUUUUGAGGAGGAUUUUUCCCUCUCACACCCUAACCAAUGGCUUAUAGAAGAAUCCACUUUAGAUGUAACACUUUAAAAGAGAUGCCUGGCCAUAAUUCCAGGUGCUUUCCCAGAGUCAGACUCUUCCCUGGAAGUCACAGGGUUCCUUGCAUAAAGAAGUUCCUGCUGGAGCUAGGUGGAAUUAAUUGUUUUCUUCAUUUUUAAGUGAAGGAGAAGGAGAGGAACAUAGUAUUAAAAAAACCCAAAACCACAACAACAAACCAAGGCAUGAAAAGGAAUCAGCUGCUGAUGGUGUCACCCUUGGUUAUUAGUUUUUUUUUAAGUAGGGGGCGCAUAACUUGGAGUAGUUUACUUUUUACAGUACCUUGCUAGCACACUUUUGUUCAAGUGGGCAGAAUUGCCGUUUUAGGAUUCAAAUGGUUACAACUUUAUUACCAUUAGAUUAAGCCAGCACAGUAUUGCUGAGACACACAGAUGCUUUUCAUGUUAAACAUCUGGAAUUGCAUUAUGCUGUUUGAGUGCAGCAUAAGUCUGAGUGGAAAUCAUGUCAUUUUUAUGAUACCGACUGCAUUUAGCAUAGAUCCAUGUGCUGGAUUCAUCACAAGUAACAGGCACCAAUUCAUGCUUUGUCCACAAUAAACAACACUGCAGAGCAGAAAGUGCAUUUGUGCUGCAGGCUUGGAGCUACAGUGAAAUGGACGAAUUCAGGGGGAGUUCAAAAUCCCUGAUGAUGGAUGAAAUCCAGCAACCACCUGAGCAUCAAGUUCAUGCAGCUGGACAAUCUGUUGCUCCCCAGCCUGCAACACAUGAAUUUCAGGACAGAGGUCAUGACAAGCCUGGUCAAGAUGGGUAUACCCAGAGUCAAAGGAGAAUGUUAAAAAAAUUCCAAAGCAGAUACCUAGCAAGGAAGUUUUUCUAUCUGUGGGCAAAAAUAACAUUUGGACAAGUUCUCCCUUCCAAAGCCAGAUGUUUGUAUGAUCAGAAGAUUCUUCAGAAAACUUUUGCAGAGUGGAAGGAGCAGUGGACAGUUUGCAGAGAAAAGAAGCUCAGCCUCAGGGCAGACAACCAUUACAGGCAUUUACUCCUUAAUUUGAUAUUCAAGGCUUGGAGAACCUAUAUAUGCCAACAGCAAGGAAAGAGGAACAAGUAUUAUGUUGCAGAGUCUCAUGCAAAGAGGCAGACUCUGCUCAGGACCUGGCAGCACUGGCUGGUUUAUGUUGAUGUUCAAAGGACAAAACAUGGGAUGCAGUCUGUGGCACUGGCAUUCAGGAGAAGGAGCUGUUUGCGCAUUUCAUGGGCAGUGUGGAGAAGACAACACUACCAGAAAUGCUCUGGACAUAAAAUGAAUAUUUUGGCUCUGCAGCAUUGGGCCCAGAGCCUGCAAUUUCGAGCUUGGUUGCAGUGGCGAGAGCUGUAUUUACACACCCAGAAUGAAAAGCAGAAGGACACCAGGGCAGUAACUCACCAUCAGCACCGGGAGCUGAGGAGAUGCAUGGGAGCAUGGCUGGGAUACCUGAACCUCCUCAGAGUAAAGAAAUGCCAGAAUGAGCUGGCCCAGGAGUUUCACCGGCGCAGGAGGCUCCGGAGGUGCUUCUCCGAUUGGCAGCUGGCAUGGGAGUGCAGGAGAAGAAUGCGUGCUCACGGGAGAGACCUGGAAAAACAAGCAGCAAGGAUUGCCUUAUGGAGAGCCUUUGCACACUGGAAGCAUUAUGUUGUGCUGUGUGUGGAAGAGGCUCAGCAGUGUGAGCUGGCUGAAAAGCACUACAAGUGUCACCUGUUGGAACUUGGCUUUAAAGGUCUUCGGCAGAAUGUCCUGGAUGCUCAUCUUCAGCGAAUGAGAGCAAAUCUGUCAUCCUGUCAGCAUCGAGUCACAGUGCUGCAGAAGUACUGGAACUGUUGGAAGUCCCGUUUGGAAGAGAAGGAGGAAGAACAGCAGCAGGCUUUAACAUCAGUGGCUCAUGCUCGUUACAGGAGUGUGUUGAUGAGACAGGUAUUUGACACAUGGCUGCUGAAGACCUGCAAGCUGCAAGGAUAUCGAAUGGGAGAGAAGAAGGCCGUGCUCCAUUUCCAAAGGCGGCUCUUGCGCUGCUCCUGGUCCUGCUGGCGGAGAAGAGCAGCUGCACGUCUGGAGGAGCAGGAGGGCUUGGCUCGUGCAGGAGAGCACUACAGUAACCAGCUGCUGCUAAAGGCCUUCUGUCUGUGGAAACAAAAGACUCAGGAGAGAGAAACAGAGAGGCUCAAGGAGACAGAAGCGUUAAGAUUUCACUGCUCAAAGUGUCUGCAGCAGACUUGGAACAAGUGGAGAGAGUACGUGGGACAUCAGCGUGAGAAGUGGAGGAAGCUGGUGCAAGCAGACCUGCAUUAUCAACAUGUAUUGCUGGGCAAGACCUUGGCAGCUUGGAAGAUUUACCAACAAAACAUACAGUGCAUUCUGUAUCAAGUAGCUGAGAAGGAGAAACAGCACACUCGACUGCUGCUGCGAGAGGUGGUGUGUACGUGGAGAGAAAAUGCUCUUGCUCUUAUACAUGAAUCUGAGGCAACUACUCGGGCAGAUGAGCACUACAGGAGAGCAAUCCUGUCAAAGGUGCUGCUGCACUGGAGAGACACUGCCUGGCUACGAGCGUGUCACCGCCACCUGAAGGUGACAGCUGUGGUGGAGGCCAGAAAACAGUUGGAUUUAGUGCGUUUACAGAGCCUGUUUCUGCACUGGAAGGAAUUAAUGAGGGAGUCUCUGGUGCUGAGGGCUCAGCACCACAGGGCAGCACAGCACCACCAGCAGCACCUGCUCCAGAAGUACCUGGUGAAAUGGAAAGAUUAUCAUCAGCAGUGCCUUGGGAAAAAGCUGCUGCAGAGAAGGGGAGAUGAACUAAUGACUCACAGACUUUGCUCUGCUUCCUUCUCUUGCUGGAAAACUCGGCUGUUGCAGCAGCAGUGGGAAAAGCAGAAGACAGUGCAAGCAUUGUGGCACUGGUCCCUUUCUGUGCAGAGAAAGGUGUUUGAUGCUUGGCUCAGGUUUGCCAAGGGGCAGCAGGAGAAGAAAGAUGGCAUUGAAAAAGUCACAGGAGUUCACCAGACAGCUCCUUUGAGAGAGGGUGUAACCUGUGCCUGGAGAAACACUGCUGGCAUCAAACAGCUGCAGGGACAGCUCCAUACUCAGCCCCAGCUGGAGAAGCAAGUGACAUUUAAAAGGCCUGAUGUUAGUCCUGAGACCAGAGGACAUUCAUCAGAGGAAGAGCCAUGGCCUUCAAAAUGCAGACAUCUACCACUUCACCCUGCUGAGGGGGGCUCAGUGCUCCGUGGCCUAAAUGCCAUUCAACAAGCCAGGUUACCACCACAGAAGCCUGACUUCCCUCUGGAAUCUCUAGAAAGCAAGGAACUGCUGGGACCUCCUUUUACUAGGUCAGAGGUGCCCUUUCAGCAAACAUCUGUGAAUAAAUGUCCUGCACAGACUGGGAGCUUAAUGCUGACACCUCACAUGGAAGAAAGUACCUGUAAAUGUCUGUCUCAGAUGGACAGUGCUGCUCAUCCCCAUCAUCCCUCUCUCACUUGUGCUUCUCUCCCCCCAUGGACACAGGACAUGCACCGAGCUGGGCAGAGGCCAGAGCUGUGGUCUCCUGCAUCUUUCAUGUCCCACAUGAGAGCUGGCUCAGAAGAGAGAGGAGGUCAGCCUGCCAAUGGUCACAAAGGAGCCCAUUCUCAAGACUCUCAACAGAAUUCCGUGGAGAAGUUGCCACCAAAUUUGCAGCCACAUUUGCUGUCAUCUGAAGACUUGAUGGGAAAAAGGAGUCACCAGACUGCAGCUGAAGGGGAAAAGAGGGAGCACAGUUCCAGAGAAGAAAUGAUGUUGGAGAGAAAGGUGGAAGUUGAACUCUGGCAUAUCCAGCAGCAGAUGCAGUACUACUACAGCAGGAAGCAGGAGCUCAAGUGCUGUCAGCAGCAGGCACAGAUUCUGCAGCAGUGGCUGGAAAUGAGCACGCAACCAGGAGCCCAAGAUGGUGUGCAAGGAGUUCAGGAAGAAUUGGGUCAGUUGCAGGUGAGGAUCAGCACUCUCACCAAAGCACAGCUGGCUGAGAGACAGCACGUGCAGGUCCUGCUUGCCCGCCUGCGAGACAUCCAGCUUGCCCUGGAUCUGUAGGAUCUACCAACUUCCCAGCUCAGUGGUAGGAUUUUUUGCCCCUUUCAUAGCAGGGGACAAUGGAAGAGAUAAAGGUGCCUGCUAUGGUCCUGCUCACCUGGUCAAAGUAGAUGCGGAUGGAGCCCACGUUUGUUGCUCCUACAGCUGUUAGUGAGAAGAAGCCAUGUUUCCAGUCACCUGUAAGGACAACCCGUUCAUUGUGACAGAACAGUUCCUUGAUCCAGCGAGCAACUCCAGGAUUGACAGACAUCAGAGAGCCUGAAGAAGUGAGAAAAUAUUCAGGUUAGGUGGUCUGGUUUGUAGCAAUACUGUAAUGGCACUCAGAUGGUGUUUUCAGUGUAACUGGAGCUGAUCCAGUAAACAACUCUGUCAGUUAUUUGUAGGAAGAGAGGCAAGUGCCAGGCAGAGCAAAUGAAAGAGAAGUCUGUGCUGAAAACAAAGGGGUCACAGAAGGAUGCGUGUGGUG
This is an RNA transcript of Camarhynchus parvulus, 4603 nucleotides long. It is a transcript of the gene named SFI1 centrin binding protein, with no coding region annotated. Lineage: Eukaryota; Metazoa; Chordata; Aves; Passeriformes; Thraupidae. The transcript has 31 exons. The record is from RefSeq and is a predicted model, not a curated record.